AAAAAAAAACAAACCCUCUUAACUGGUUGUGGUGGCACAUUCCUGUAAUCCCAGCUACUUGAGGGGGUUGAGGUGCAAGGAUUGCUUGAGCCUGGGAUAUUGAGGCUACAGUGAGCUGUGAUUGUGCCACUGUGCUCCAGCGUGGGUGACAAAGUGAGACCCUGUCUCAAAAAAAACAACAAAAAAAUGGGGUUCAGGGAGCUUCUAGGUUGGUGAACACAUUGAUUUUCUAGGAGGUUGGCACUCCUAAAGAGGGCAUGGAAGCUCUGUUCUCCCUCUUCCUAUACCUUGCCCUAUGCAUCUGUUCCAUUGGUCUGUUCCUGAGUUACAUAUAGUAAAUAAAGUGUUUUUUUUUUAAUUGUAGGAGUCAUUCUAGUGAAUUAAGUAACCUGAGGAGUUUAGGGGAACCCCCAAAUCUAUAGCUGGUUGUUUCAGAAAUAUGGGUUGCCCCUGGGACUUGUGAGUUACAUCUGAAGUGAGGGCAGCCUUGUGGGACCCCUUAACUUGUGGGAUCCCACUAAUUUUGGAUGGUGUCAGAAUUUAACUGAAUUGUUGGAUACCCACUUGGUGUUGAAGAAUUGGUGUGGAAACCUUCAGACAUUUGGUGUCAGAAGUGGUGUUAGAAAAAAAGACCUCAUAAUUGGUGUCAGGAAUGAGAUUUGCUAGAGCAUCUCAUGAAACUCAGGAAAGUGUUUUAUUUACUAUUACCAGUUUAUUAUAAAAGAUAAAACUGAGGAACAGUCAAGUGGAGGAGGUACUUAGAGCAAAGUUAGGGUGGAGGGUUGCAGAGCUUCCAUACCCUCUCCAGGUGUGCCACUCAUCUAGCACUUCCAUGUGUUCACUAACCUGGGAACUCCCUAAGCCCUGUUUCAGGGAUUUUUUUAUGGAGGCCUCUUUACAUAAUGAUUGAUUACAUCAUUAGCCGUUGGUGAUUGAGCUUAAUCUCCAGCUCCUCUCACUCCGCGAAGGUGUGGGUAGGGCACUGAAAGUUCUAACCCUCUCAUCAUGGCUUGAUGUUUCUGGUGACCAGCCCCUAUCCUGGAUCUAUCUAGGGGCCCUCUGAGAGUCACUUCAUUAGCAUAAACUCAGGUUUGGUUGAGAAGGGCAUGUUAGGAAUAACGAAAGACACUCUAUCACUCAGGAAAUUCUGAGAGUUUUAGGAGCUUUGGGCCAGGAACCCGGAAUAAAAACGACCAAGUAUUUUUUUUAUACACAGGUGGCUUUUUUUUGGGUUUUUGUUUUGUUGCAUUUUCAAUUCUCCCAGCACCAUUUGUCAAAAAGACCAACUUUUCCCCCAUUAAAUUAUUUUGGGACCUGUCUAAAAUAUCAGUUGACAGUAUAUGUGUGAGUUAUGUCAGGAUUCUCUGGGUUUUUUUUUUUUUUUUUUUUGAGAUGGAGUCUCACUCUGUCGCCCAGGCUGGAGUGCAGUGACACAAUCUUGGCUCACUGCAAGCUCUGCCUCCCGAAUAGCUGGGACUACAGGCGCUAGCCACCAUGCCCAGCUAAUUUUUUGUAUUUUUAGUAGAGACGGGGUUUCACCCUGUUAGCCAGGAUGGUCUCGAUCUCCUGACCUCGUGAUCCACCCGCCUCGGCCUCGCAAAGUGCUGGGAUUACAGACUUGAGCCACCGCACCCGGCCUUCUCUGGGUAUUUUUAAUGCCAAUAGCACACUGUCUCAGUUACCAUGUUCAGGUCUUAGACGUGUUUGGUUAAAUUUAUUUCUAAGUUUUUCAUAUUUUUUGAUGUUACUGUAAGUGGCAUUUCUUCUUAAUUUUACUCCCAAUUUUUUAUUGCUAGUAUAUUGCUAGUAUAUACAAUUGAUUUUUGUAUAUUGUCUUUGUAUCCUGCAACCUUGUUAAAUGCACUUUUUACUUCUAGGACUCUUUUGUAGAUGCUCUGGGGUUUUCUACAAAUGUAGUCAAGUCAUUUGUGAAUAAAGAUAGUUUUACUUCUUCCUUUCCUAUCUGUUCACCUUUUAUUUUUUUUCUUAUAUCCAUUACAUUUUCAUUAUAGAGUUGACUAAAAGCAGUGUGAGUGUUCAUCUUUGUCUUUUCUCAGUCUUACGGGGAAGGCAUCCAGUCUUUUACUACUAAGUAUGACGUUAGCUGUAGUUUUUUCACAGAUGCAGUUUAUCAGAGUGAAAAGUUUCUUUUUAUUUGUAGUUUGCUGAGGCUUUUUUUUUUUUUUUCAUGAACAUGUAUUGCAUUUUGUCAAAUCUCUUUUUGGCAUCUAUUAAGAUUCUCAGAGAGGCUGAGGCAGGAGAAUGGCGUGAACCUGGGAGGCGGAGCUUGCAGUGAGCCCAGAUCGCGCCACUGCACUCCAACCUGGGUGACAGAGCGAGACUCCGACUCAAAAAAAAAAAAAAAAGAUUCUCAUAUUAUUUUUCAGCCUGUCAAUAUGGUGAAUGAUUGAUUAUCAAUUAUUAACAAUUGUGUAUUCCUGGAACGGACCUCUCUUGAUCAUUAAUCCUUUUUAUAUACUGCUGGAUUUGAUUUGCUUAAGUUUUUUAGGAUUUUGUAACUGUUCAUAAGGGAAAUUGGUUUGCCUUCUUUUCUUGUAAGGUCUAUAGUUCUGGUAUCAGGAUAGUGCUGGUCUCAUAAAAUGAAUUGGGAAAUGUUCCUUCCUUCUAUUUCCUUGAACAAGUUUGCAUAGUUGUCAUUAUUUCUUACUUAAUUGUUUGGUAAAAUUCACCAACGAAGUCAUUUGGUCUAGGAAGUUUCUUUGUGGGAAGAUUUUUAACUAUGAAUUUGAUAUCUUUAAUAAAUACAGGGCUACUUGAGUUACUUCUGUUUGAAAAGUCAAAUUCUGUAACAUAUUUGAAGAGAUUUAUUCUGAGCCAAAUAUGAGUGACCAGCCCCAGGAGAUGAUGAGAAUGUGUGCCCAAGGUGUUCAGUCUACAGCUUGGUUUUAUACAUUUUAGGGAGACAUAAGACAUCAAUCAAUACAUGUAAGAUGUACGUUGGUUCAGUCUGGAAAGGUGGGACAACUGGAAGCAGUGAGGGAUAGGGGGCCUUCCAGGUUAUAGGUAGAUUCAGUGAUGUUCUGAUUGGCAAUUGGUUGAAAGAAUUUAUCUAAAGACCUGGAAUCGGUAGAAGGCAGUGUCUUAGUUGUGGAGACCAAGGUUCUUAUUAUGCAAAUGAAGCCUUCAGGUGGGAAGCUUCAGAGAAAAUAGAUUGUAAAUAUUUCUUGUCAGACUUAAAGGGCCUGUUCUGUCAGUCUGCAGGUCCUGUGUUGACGUUAAUGCUGGUCAUCUGUGCCUGAAUUCCAAAGGGAGGAGAGUAUAAUGAAGAAUGUCCUACUCCCACUCUCACUUUCCAUCAUGGCCUGAACUAGUUUCUCAUGUUAGCUUUGGGUUGCCCUUGGUGGAGGGGAGGGUCCAUCAGUCAGUUGGGGAACUCAGAAUUUUAUUUUUGGUUUACAUUUCUUUUUGAGUGAGUUUUGGUAAUUUGUGUCUUUUAAGUUGAGUGAGUUUUGGUAAUUUGUGUUUUAUCUAAGUUUUCAAAUUAAUUGCCAUAAAAUUUUUCAUAUUAUUCCUUAUCCUUUUACUACAUUGAAUCUGUAAUGAUAUCUGAUCGAUUAUUUAUUUAUUUAUUUAUUUAUUUUGAGACAGGGUCUUGCUCCGUCACCCAGGCUGGAGUGCCGUGGCGUAAUCUCAGCUCACUGCAACCUCCGCCUCCCGAGUAGCUGGGAUUACAGGCAUGCACCACCACACCUGGCUAAUUUUUGUAUUUUUAAUAGAGAUGGGGUUUCACCAUGUUGGCCAGGAUGGUCUUGAACUCCUGGCCUCAAGGCCGCCUGCCUCAGCCUCCCAAAGUGUUGGGAUUAUAGGUGUGAGCCACUGUGCCUGGCCGAUGUCUGAUUAUUUAUUUUCGAUGUUGAUACAUUGUGUCUUUUUUCUUAAAUGCUAGCAAAACAUUAGUCACUUUUGUUUAUCUUUUCAAGUAAGUGGCUUUUGGUUUCAUUUUUUUUAUUUUGCUUUUCUUUCUAUUUCAUUGAUUACUUCAUUAUUUUCUUCUCUCUGUUUGCCUUGGGUUUAAUUUACUCUUUUUUUCUAGCUUCCUAAGGUGGAAGUUUAGAUAAUUGAUUUGAGGCCCUUCAUUUCUUAUAGUUGACCCUUGAGCAACAUGAGAGGUUAGGAGAGAUGACACUACCAACCCGCACCCCUGCCCCCACCCCUCACAGGUGGAAAUCCUCCUAUAACUUGACUCCUCAAAAACUGAACUACUAAUAGUCUACUGUUGACUGGAGGCCUCACUGGUAACAUAAAGGGUUGAAUAAUAAACAUUUUGUGUUAUGUAUUAUAUGCUGUAUUCUUAUAGUAAAGUAAGCUAAAGAAAAGAAAAUGUUACUAAGAAAAUCAUAAGGAGGAGAAAAUACAUUUACUAUCAAUGGAAGUGGGUCAUCACACAGGUUAUCCUUGUCAUCUUCAUGUUCAGUAGGUUAAGGAGAAAGAGGAGGGGUUGUCUUGCUGUCUCAAAGGGGUGGCAGAGGUGGAAGAAAAUCUGUGUACAAGUAGACCUGAUGUUGUUCAAAGGUCAGCUGCACUUAAAUUUUAAUGUUUUCAUUUGAGCACAUCAGAGAUGCCGUUAAAAAUGACUCAGAGUACUCGUGCCCUUUCUGUGUAAGUAAUGAUUGAUUGGUUGUUGCUAAUUCAUUUCUGACUCUAAUUCCAUUUUUUAAAAAGCCUACCUGUAUAAUGUUUUAGGAUCUGUAGAGAUUUUCUUUUUAAGGAAUAGGAAAUGUAUAUUACUAAUAACCUGCUGACUAAUCUGCUUCCACUCUUGCCCUUUCCCCACACGAAGCCCAAAUGAUCUUAAAAAAGUUAAUGGAUCACAUCACUCUGCUAUUUCAGACACUCUUCAGAAAUAAACUUUGUGAGGCAGAAAUGACCCCCAAAGCUGUCCACGUCCUAAUGCUGGAACCUUACAUGGAAAUGGGAACUUUGCAGAUGUGAGGAAGGUGAAGAUCUUAAGAUGGGGAGAUUUUCCUGAUGUAUCCACUGGGCCCAAUGUAAAGACAAGGGUUCAUACAAGAGGGAGGCAGGAGGAUUCUGAGCAGGAGAAAUGACAACAGGAAGCAGAAGUUGGAGAGAAUCAAGGAAGGGGCCAUGAGCCAAGGACUGUGGACAGCCCCUAGAAGCUGGGAAAGGCAAGGGAGCUCAUCUUUCCUAGUGCCUCCAGAAGGAAUGCAGCCUUGCCAACCCAUUUUAGACUUCUGACCUAGAAUUGUCAGAUGGACUUCAAGUUCUGUCUCCCACCUGCUACCACAAGGGAUGUCUUGGAGGAACACAGCUGCCUCUGUUGGGGUGAGCAGAGAAUGGGCCCCCCAGUGGGUGUGCAGCUGGUCAGAGAGCCUAGGCUGUUCUCUCUCAGUCCCCUUUCUCCAAGGCUGCCCAGUUAUGUGGUGAGGUGAGUAUUGUCGGCAGUGGGAGGCUGGAAGGGGUCCUUCCUGCAGGAGACCCCUCUUGCAUGAGGCCAUGGGAGUGGAAUUCAGCUCUAGAACUUUGGUUAGCUUGAGUAGAGCUCCAGCAGCUAGAAAGGGAGACUUGAAAAAAUUAGAAAAAAUUAGAUUUUUGUCAGUCUGCUUCUGGAAAUUGAUAGUAGUAGUUUGCCUUCUGAGGGCUUUCUCUGGGAACUGGCAUUAGUCUAGACGGAGGUUAGUACAUUUUGUGUGUAAAAGGCCAGAUAUUUUAGGCUUUGUGUGCCUCUUAACAAUUUUUGUCACAUAUUCUUUGUUUUAUCUUUACAAUCCUUAGAAAAGAUAUAAAAGCUGGGUGCAGACUGGCCUGCAGGCUGUUUUUUGCUGUCUUCUGGUUCACACUCCAGUUUUCUCUGUUUGUUCCAGCUGGAGGAGCUGGGGUCAGUCACACUGGGCUUUGCAGGAAGAAGCUGGAGAGGCCUGGCCAUGGAGGCUGUUUUUCUUGACAUAAAAAUAAAAAUGUUCAUUUUUUCUUGUGUGCUUGGUGAGUGAUCUGGAAACAGUUGUACAAUUCAUAGUUUGAGAAGUAUUUUGUUCAGUGAUAGUGUCAUUUGGGUGAAUGUUAGAUUUGAAGGCCACUACCAAUUAGGAUGAUCUUGAGGUUUAUGGUUCUUAAAAACUCCCUGAGUUGAAGUUUCAUUUGAAUAAUGUAUUGCUUUUUGAGGUAAAAUAAGGUUGAAAGAGAUGGAGGUAGUCAAUAUUUUUACAUUCUCUAAAAAAGGCAACAGGAUUAAUACCAGUAUUAUUUACUCAUUAAAUUUUAUAUUAAUGGAUACUAUGUUUGUUACCUUUUUGUGACUGUAAACAUUUGGUAAUUUUUUUACUCUUGAAUUAUGUGAAAUACCUGUCAAUUGGUUUUGUUUUGUGACAGAUAGGACACAUGCCUAUUAGGUGUCUUUCUUAUUCAGUGUGGUUUUGCUGCAGAAGGUAGUUACUGUCCUGGAGGAUCAGUCCAGCAAGACAUAGGUGUUCACAAGUUCUCUCUAUUCCUGCUGGUCAUAGCAUGAAUGCCUUUCAGCUCAGUGUAAUCUCUAGGAUUUGUUCAUUUCAUAGCUCCCCGGUUGUAUUUUCUUUCUCUAGUAAUUUUCUGUGAAUCAGGAGUUUACUGUUCAGCCUAAGCAUUAGGGAACCCUAGUGCAGAUUACUGGAGCUCUUCCUCUGAGAGGUUACCACACCUUUCCAUUUAUCUGCCCUGCAAAUUCCAGCCACCUCAGCCUCCCUGCACUCUGAUCUCAGAUCAGCAAGACCACAGUGCUUUGUUGGGGUACCCCUGCCUUGCACCAGUCUGUCAGGUGUCUUCAGGAAGAAAACAGGGACAGUCACAGGUUCCCAGACGGUAGUCUUUUACUGCCUGUUGAUCAAUAGCUGAGCCAUUUCAUAUAUUUUGAGGGAGGGGAUCCAGUACCAGUUACUCCAUUGCAGCCACAGGUGCAAGUUCUUAGUUCCCAUUCGUGGGGAAUGGUAUUGAGGAACCAAGAUCUGGGUACAACAUGUGCACACUGUUAUAUGGGUGUCUUUGCUUCUCAAGACAGACCUAAGAAAUAAGUAGAUAAAUUACAUUACAUAUUCACACACACAUUUUUACAACCAUUUCUGUACUUACAUGUUGAAAACCAUGAGUUUAUAUUGUUAACUCCAUUUCCAGUUUAUCAGCACAGGGUUCAUUCUUACCUUCUCCCUUUCCAUAUUUGUAGUACCUGCAGUAUAUUGACUCAUUUGCUCAAUCCUGUAACAUACUGAAAGUAGUUUCAGAGUUGCUGAUCCAUACCACUGUGGUAAACAUACCUUUUAUCCAGAGCUUAUUACCUAUUGACAGUACAGUCCCUGACUUACAAUGGUUUGACUUACCGAUUUUUCGAUUUACGAUGAUGCAGAAGUGAUACACAUUCAGUAGAAAUUGUAACCCCAUUUUAAGUUGAGGAGCAUCUGUAAAAUGCAUUUUCCAGUUGUGAUAUUUUCAACAUCCCAUGAGUUUAUUGGGAUAUAACCCCAUUGCAAGUCAAGGAGUAGCUGUACUUUAUAUCUUUGGACUGAAGGUAUGUAAUACUGUAAUAUACAAUACUAAACAUAUUGUGUGAAGAGUUACUUAGGUUAUUUCUUUAUUGUGGUUGUGUUUUAUUCAUUAGAGGUAACGUUAGGUUUCCUCACUCCUAUUUAUUUUGAUAUAUAAAAUAUUAAUAUGGUUUCAGAAGUCUAAACUAUACCAAGAGAUACAAUCAUAGAAGUAUCAGUACCCACUUCCUCCCUCUAAUCUCUUCCCUCCAGUUCCCACCCUUGAGGGUGUUAGUGAGUCUCGUUAGUUUCUAGAUUAUCCUUCAUGUUUCUUUCUGCAAAAUUAAGGCUAUACCUAUUUGUUCAACUAUUUCCAAUCUUUCUUAAUGCUAGUAGCAUUUUCUUGCACUUUACUUUUUGCAGUUAACAAUAUCUCUUCCCAGCACUUUGGGAGGCCCGGGUGGGUGGAUCACCUGAGGUCAGGAGUUGGAGACCAGCCUGGCCAACAUGAUGAAACCUCAUCUCUACUAAAAAUACAAAAAUUAGCCGGGCGUGGUGGUGGGCACCUGUAAUCUCAGCUACUUGGGAGGCUGAGGCAGGAGAAUUGCUGGAACCUGGGAGGCGGAGGUUGCAGUGAGCCAAGAUUGCGCCGUUGCACUCCACCCUAGGCCAACAACAGUGAGACUCUGUCCCCCCCGCCAAAAAAAAAGUACCUCCUAGAAAUCAGUCUCUGUUAGUUCAUUGAAAUGUAGUGAUGGCUGGAAGUGUAUGAGGGAUCUAUGAGACUUUUUCACAAUGGAGGUGUUACUAUAGUUUGCAUGCUGAUGAAACUAAUCUGAUUCUAUUGAAGAGGGAGAGGUGUCAUCAUGUUUCAGAAAGAAGCCUCGAAGUAGGCCUUCAAGAGAGGCUGAGAUGCUGGACAGAAAUGGAGGGUUUUGGUUUUGGUUAGUGAAAGGACACUUCACUUUGAGGAAAAGUGACGUCUGAUUUAUUAGAGCCUUGAAUUCUUAUAGAAAUCCUGUAGCAGAAUAGUCCUUUUCAUCAAAUGGGCAGGUAAAAUUUUACUGGUUGAGUUUCCAAGAUAGAAAUUUUCUAUUUAAUUGGAGUGAAAGAUGGGUGCAGGUUCUGGAUGAGGAGAUAAGUGAAAGCACUUACAAGUUGGUAUUCUUAUUGAGGAUCUAGUGCUCUAGAAGCUGUGACAGUAGUCGUACCAAGAAGGUCAUGCUCCUUAAUCUCACUUGAUCCUCUCCAAACCUUAACUAGAAACUUUCUGUAAUCAUUAGAGCUAACUUGAUAUCUCCACCAAUCAAUUCCUUCCCUUAAGAACAGAUGUGGACUGAAGCAGAACCAAUUUGUAAUCAUUUCUAAUACAUCAUCUAGUUAGAUAAUGAGCUCUCAGCUCCAUCUAACAAAGCAUUUUCGCAAAUUGAGUUAAACUAUGAGCCUGUUAGGGUUGUCUGAAUCCAGUCAUUUUGAAUUUUUCUGAAAUUCCUAUAGUUUACUCUGUUUGCCAGCUUUAUAUAUGGGUUGGUGGCCUAAAACUUCAGUUCUGGGCCCCAUAUCCAUGCAUGACUCUGUUGAAAGAAAGAGAAUACUCUGCUGCAAUCCAAGCUGGAGCCCUUCAAUUGACCUUAAUUUGAUUGCUUAGGGGAAUGGACCAUGCUGGUUAGCUCAAGCUAACCAUAGUCCACUCCUGGAUAUGGGGGUAGAUUCGUCUUCUUCCGAAGUAUAUGGACUGUGGGGAGUUGGGAGGGCAGACACCAGAACAAAAAUAAGGCUGCCAUCAGGAAAUGGGAGGAGGGAAGUUGGAGAGGAUGUUAAGGUAGAUGGUUAGUAUUCAUACGUCUUAAGCAUUUCUACUGUAAACUCUGUUCAUCAGUUCUCAACUACAAAGAAAACACAUGAAUUUCAUUAAUUAAUUCAUGUAUGUAAUAUUUUUUAGAGGGAGCCUGCCAUGUGUUGGGUACUGUUCUAGGAUCUGAGGAUAUAGCAGUAAAUAACAGAGAAAUAAUCUCUGCUCUGUGGGCAAUGGGGAGGGACCAUCCCAUUUUGCCAAGAGGAUGUGCGAUAGUAUUGUUGGAUCUCAUGUGAUGUUUAUAUGUGAACAUUUACUUGAUACAGCUUGUAAAUGAUGUGUUGAAGGCCCUUGUGUAUACAAAGUUGAGAAGAAGGAAACAGAUGGUAUAGAAAUGAAAGCAAGUCAUUGGCUUGAUCAUUCUGACUGAUGUUUAUAAAUCUAAAAAUGAAAGUAUAUUGCAAUUAGGGAGCAAAGAAUAUGGCUGUCCUCUUUAAAUUAAGAGCCAUCAGUGUUUUCAAAAACAUUGCAUUUCUACAAUGCAAGUCUAAGAAGAACCAGAAGUAGUGAUAGUAAUGAUGAUCUGCUAGAGAUGUAUUUGAAACCUAGAUUCAGCUUUUAUAAACCUGUGCAAUCCAGUUUCAUUUCUUUUUUCUUUUUUUUUUUUUUUUUCUGGAGACCGAGCCUGUACGAUCGAGGUUCAUUUCUUUUUUUUUUGGAGACCGAGUCUUGCUGUGUCACCCAGGCUGGAGUGCAGUACAGUGGUGGAGUCACGGCUCACUACAACCUCUGCAUCCCAGGUUCAAGUGAUUCUCUUGCCUCAGCCUCCUGAGUAGCUAGGAUUACAGGCGUGCACCACCAUGCCCAGCUUAUUUUUGUAUUUUUAGUAGAGACAGGGUUUUGCCGUGUUAGCCAGGCUGGUCUCAAACUUGUGGCCUCAAGUGAUCCACCCGCCUUGGCCUCCCAAAGUGUUGGGAUUACAGGCGUAAGCCGCCGUGCCUGGCCAAUCCAGGUUUAUUUCUGUCUGUUAACAAUUUCGUUCAAAUGAUGUGGCCUUUUUCAGGUGUGUUUGUGUAUGUAUGUGAGUAUAUAUUUGUAUAUUUAUAAUACGUAUGUGUUUGUAGGUGUGUGUGUGUAUAUACAUAUACAUGUAUAUACUAGGAAAACAAAAUAGCGAUAUGGAUUUGUUACGUUUAAAUUUUUACUAAAAUUUCUAAUAAAGUUGUUUUUUCACUAUUAUUUUUCUUUGAAUUAUUUGUAAAUUGACCUAAAUAUGAAAUAAAGAUCUAAGGAGUCCAUUGGCCCCAGCCGAUAGAGUGUUGGUUACUUUUCCUGUUGACUGAGGGUUAAUGUAAUAUACCUGUGUGGACAUUCAUCCACAGUGGUUGAUGACUAGGCAUUCGUUUCAAGCACACAUGGACUAUUUAUGAAAAUUAGCUGUCUGCUAGGCCAUAAAACCUCCACAGAUUUCAGAGGACACCUAUCAUCAGACCACAUUCUGUCACCACAGGCAGUCAAGUUAGAAGUCAUUAACAAAAAAUGUAAUUAGAAAAAGUCCCCUACAUUGGGAAAUUUAAGAUAACUUCUAAAUAACUUACAGCUCAACAAAUGAAUCUUAAUGGAAAUUAGAAAGCAUUCAGAACUAAAUGCUAACAAAAAAUACUUUAAAAAUUGUGUAAUAUAGCUAAGGUUGGACUUCAGGAAAGAAAAAAGGCUGAAAAUGAAUAAACUAAGCAUGUUCCUUAAGUGAAAAAAUAACUGCAGGAUAACCCAAAUAGGGUAGAAGAAAGGAAAUGAAGUGAGCAUAAACUAAUGACAUGGAAAACACAUUAAGUAUUAAGGGUAAUAAAGCCCAGAGCUGGUUCUUUGAAAAGCCAAAUAGUCAAACUUUUGGCAAGAUUACUCAUGAGUGAGGGAAAAAAUACACAAUAUUCAGAUUGGAAAAGGGAGCCAUAGAUAUAAAUUCCACAGAGAUUAAACUGGUAAGAUAAUGUUAAGAAUGACUGUGCCAGGCCGGGCGCGGUGGCUCACGCUUGU
Long non-coding RNA from Symphalangus syndactylus (siamang), 11301 nucleotides. RefSeq lists it as uncharacterized. The record is from RefSeq and is a predicted model, not a curated record. Lineage: Eukaryota; Metazoa; Chordata; Mammalia; Primates; Hylobatidae.